CUGCUUUGUGUGACGUGCCCUGCUCUCAGACAAGCCAAAGCAACUCCUCCCAGAUUUAAUGAAACAAUCUGCGUGCCAGUGCCAAGGUUUAGACCCACCCAUGCUCCGCUCCCUUUCAAUUUUAUCUCCCUUUCCAACCAUCAGGUGCCCACAGAGCUGCCUCAUUUUUGGGCUCGCUGCUCCCGUGUAGUCCCCCCGAGCCAGGGGGGAGACUGGGCUUUCCCUCCAGCCCCAGCAGCCAGGGUUAAAAAUGUUUUCCUGACACCUCUCACCCAGAGCCUGCAGACAAAGCAGGCCGGAGGGGCUCCAAGGAGGUAUUCAAGAGGGCUCUGAGGAUCCUGGUGGAAACACAGUGCUGAAGAUUUCCAUCCUCCCCCCCUCCCAGUGGAAAGAAGAGAACAAUAAAAAGGAGGCAGCGCACUUCAGCUGCCCCUGAAGAGCAGCAAAGCGGAGUAGCUCGGCUUUCUCACUUGUCUGUCUUCCGGCAAGGUCCUGGCCCCGGUCCUGCCAAUGUGCGAACCCUGCUGGCAGGGAGGGGAGGAGAAAAAGCCCCCAGGGGACCCUCUCACCCGUCUGGCUGGCAGGGUGAUGCUGGGGUGUGAGUGGUGCCCCUGGGUCCUCUCCGAGCCACAGCGGCGUGGAUGCACACACGCAUGGAGAAACAAACCCGCAAGCGGCACCAGGAGCGCGCCUGCACGCACAAAUGCUUCCACAGACACAUUUCUAGGGAUUUACCAAGCAGCAAGAGCAUCCGGGUGGCUGCACCCAACAGCCUGGGUUGCGUUUCUCUUCCGUGAGCUUGCCCUGCACCUACCUGAGCCUGUCUGCAGCUCUGCAAAAUCAUGUGGCGGUAAAUCCCAAAGGAUAAUCUUGCCUUUGUGGGAAAAGCCAAUUUAUUAACCUUAAUGGAGUCCAGAGAAACCUGGGCUUUCAGACUCCUGACGCAGGGAAAAGCUGAGUUUUGUGCUGCUCCCUUGCAGUUCCCUCCUCUGCAAAAUGGAUUUGAUUCUAACCCAAGAAAGGCAAAGCAGGGAAACAGAGCUGGUGUUUUCGGAUUCCUCCUCCCCUGCACCAAGCCAGUCCUGUACAUGGAACCACAGAAUUGCCAGUAUAGAAACAGAAAGGAGGCCAGGAUAAUGGAAUAAAUUCCCCAAACUCAUACCCC
Molecule: long non-coding RNA, 1165 nt
Filed under: Anas platyrhynchos platyrhynchos (common mallard)
Lineage: Eukaryota; Metazoa; Chordata; Aves; Anseriformes; Anatidae
Description: lncRNA (ENSAPLG00000025007.1)
Source: RNAcentral